Molecule: unclassified non-coding RNA, 382 nt
Filed under: uncultured Verrucomicrobiae bacterium
Lineage: Bacteria; Pseudomonadati; Verrucomicrobiota; Verrucomicrobiia
Description: contains 16S-23S intergenic spacer region
Source: RNAcentral
UCACGUCUUACGACGGCAGUUUCAGUAGAGUUCCCAGCGUUACCUGAUGGCAACUACUGAUGGGGGUUGCGCUCGUUGCGGGACUUAACCCAACACCUCACGGCACGAGCUGACGACAGCCAUGCAGCACCUGUGCAUGCUCCCCUUGCGGGGUCGUCCCACUUUCAUGGUUCUACCACCUACAUGUCAAGGCCAGGUAAGGUUCUUCGCGUUGCAUCGAAUUAAGCCACAUACUCCACCGCUUGUGCAGGCCCCCGUCAAUUUCUUUGAGUUUUAAUCUUGCGACCGUACUUCCCAGGCGGCGUAUUUAUCGCGUUGGCUCCGCCACGAGUGGGGUCGAUUCCACUCACAGCAAAUACGCACCGUUUACGGCUAGGACUAC